This 68-nucleotide transfer RNA is filed under the name Discoglossus galganoi (Iberian painted frog). RNAcentral's name for it is "tRNA-Pro". It matches the Rfam family "tRNA". From Rfam's summary of the family: Transfer RNA (tRNA) molecules are approximately 80 nucleotides in length. Their secondary structure includes four short double-helical elements and three loops (D, anti-codon, and T loops). The record is from RNAcentral. Lineage: Eukaryota; Metazoa; Chordata; Amphibia; Anura; Alytidae.
CGGGAUGUAGUUAUGAAGAACGCUGGCUUUGGGGGUCAGCAGAGGGGGUUUAAAUCCCUCCGUCUCGA